Lolium rigidum is the source of this 776-nucleotide long non-coding RNA. RefSeq lists it as uncharacterized. The record is from RefSeq and is a predicted model, not a curated record. Lineage: Eukaryota; Viridiplantae; Streptophyta; Magnoliopsida; Poales; Poaceae. The transcript has 5 exons.
AACGAUGUCCAUCACCUGCAAAUACGAGGAGAUCUAGGUGCCCCAGGUGCAUAAGAGCAUGUGGUGUGACUGCUGUUGGGCAGCCGUGGUGGUGGUAGUGUUAUCUCAGUUUCGGCCACAAUUCCCUCAGGGCUAGGAGAACUGAAUGACAGACAAGCUGGAACCAGUAGGAACAACACUUAAGCUGGAGUAUCCGGGACAACUGAGACAUGUAUCAGUUCUUCUUUUGCUUGUAAGCAUCAGCUGCAAAAUGGGCAAGGAGAACGACUUAAUGGCAGACAAGAUGGAACCAGUACUUAAUCCGGAGUACCCAGAGACAACUGAGACAUCUAUCAGUUCUUCGUUGCUUAUAAGCAUCAGCUGCAGAAUGCUGCCGCAGCUGAUGGAGGACGAAUGGCUAGCGGCUCGGCAUGGUUUUGGUCACCGGCACCAGUAAACUGAUAAUACCAGGAACCCAGUUGCAGAGGACGGACGGCAAGCGUCGCUGGUAAGCGAGGACUAGCUGGUGUUCCUCAAACCCACGAGCAAAGGGCGGAGGAGCUGGUUGGUCUGCAGCAUGGUGCACCCUUUUGUCGUUGCUGCAUGUUGAGAAGCUAUGCUGGAUCGAUUUGUGAGCGGAUGAUGUGUCAAGUGGGUGGUGUUAUUAUUAUUGGUUUUGCUGUUUUUGAUGUCUGACAGUGAAGUCAAGACCUCAUAUAGUUCCAUGGUUUUGCUGUGUGACGUGGAGCUCCAAAAAAGGAGCAAAGGAAAUUGGAAAAUUUCAAGUUUCAAAUUUC